RNAcentral lists this ribosomal RNA (352 nucleotides) under uncultured Exiguobacterium sp. RNAcentral's name for it is "bacterial SSU rRNA". It matches the Rfam family "Bacterial small subunit ribosomal RNA", at positions 1085 to 1439 of the family's 1533-position model. Lineage: Bacteria; Bacillati; Bacillota; Bacilli; Caryophanales. The record is from RNAcentral.
UCCCGCAACGAGCGCAACCCCUAUCCUUAGUUGCCAGCAUUCAGUUGGGCACUCUAGGGAGACUGCCGGUGACAAACCGGAGGAAGGUGGGGAUGACGUCAAAUCAUCAUGCCCCUUAUGAGUUGGGCUACACACGUGCUACAAUGGACGGUACAAAGGGCAGCGAGACCGCGAGGUGGAGCCAAUCCCAUAAAGCCGUUCCCAGUUCGGAUUGCAGGCUGCAACUCGCCUGCAUGAAGUCGGAAUCGCUAGUAAUCGCAGGUCAGCAUACUGCGGUGAAUACGUUCCCGGGUCUUGUACACACCGCCCGUCACACCACGAGAGUUUGCAACACCCGAAGCCGGUGAGUAAC